Molecule: long non-coding RNA, 309 nt
Organism: Rosa chinensis
Lineage: Eukaryota; Viridiplantae; Streptophyta; Magnoliopsida; Rosales; Rosaceae
Exons: 3
Source: RefSeq, a predicted model, not a curated record
GGCGAGGAAGUUCAGGAAGAUUGAUGUUUACUCGUUUAGGAUUGUUAUAUGGGAACUGCUUACUGGCGAUGAACCUAUACAGAUAUGCAUUGUGCUUCUAUAAUUGAUACAAAUUUGAUUUCAAUUUCAUUUAUUGCUUGGAAUUGUCGUCACUAACGUCUACUUCAUAUUUGUGUGUGUGUCAAAUUAUCUUUAUGAAGUGUCAAUUAUGUGGCUCUUACUGACAAUGCUUCAUGAUACCCAAUAGGAGCUAUGAUGUCAUGACAGCAAUGUGAGUUUAGCUAUUUACUGAUUUUACUCUGCGGAACU